CACAGGAGACACAACAUGAUCAUCUUAUUCCUGAUCAUUCAUUUCAACAUCUUUCUGGUGUCAGGUUCCUCUCCUGGUAAAAAGGUCACCCAGACUCCAGCUCACGUUUACAUCAAACCAGGAGAGAAAACAGCCACACUCAACUGUAGACAUGAAAUUUCAGGCUAUUAUACUCUUCUCUGGUACAAGCAGUCAGACGGACAGAUGACGCUCCUGGGAUAUAUGUCCCUCACGGAUGCAACCCUAGAGAAGGAUGUGAAGGUGAAGGUGAAGAUCGGAGGGGAUGCAAAUGAAAACAAGACCUGCACAUUAACAAUUGAAGAAGCCGACCUGAACAGCAGUGCAGUGUAUUUCUGUGCUGCUAGUCUCCACAGUGCUGCAUGUCACCACUCAUCAGUACAAAAACCUGCUCUCCACAUUUUAUCAUCUCUGUCGGCUCACAGCCGCCCUCACACCUGCAACAAGCCUCUUCAUUUAAAUCUCUGAUCUCUGUGAAUAAUAGAGCAGUGGUUGUUGAAACCACCGCUCUGAAAGAAGUGUUCCUCUCUCUCCUCCUCCACGCCUUUAGAACCUUCAUACAGCACCGGAUCCACUUCAAGAUCCUGCUCUAGCCCUCAAUAAUCUUGCCCCCCUCAUACCUGAC
Non-coding RNA from Notolabrus celidotus (New Zealand spotty), 643 nucleotides. The record is from the annotation of a RefSeq genome assembly. Lineage: Eukaryota; Metazoa; Chordata; Actinopteri; Labriformes; Labridae.